RNAcentral lists this transfer RNA (75 nucleotides) under Acidipila sp. RNAcentral describes it as "tRNA-Gln". It matches the Rfam family "tRNA". From Rfam's summary of the family: Transfer RNA (tRNA) molecules are approximately 80 nucleotides in length. Their secondary structure includes four short double-helical elements and three loops (D, anti-codon, and T loops). Lineage: Bacteria; Pseudomonadati; Acidobacteriota; Terriglobia; Terriglobales; Acidobacteriaceae. The record is from RNAcentral.
UGGGAGAUCGUCCAAUUGGCAGGACAUCAGAUUCUGGAUCUGAGAAUCAUGGUUCGAGUCCAUGUCUCCCAGCCA